This 479-nucleotide ribosomal RNA is filed under the name uncultured bacterium. RNAcentral describes it as "bacterial SSU rRNA". It matches the Rfam family "Bacterial small subunit ribosomal RNA", at positions 29 to 496 of the family's 1533-position model. The record is from RNAcentral.
AAUCAACGCUGGCGGCGUGCCUCAGACAUGCAAGUCGAACGCGAAAGUUCCCUUCGGGGGCGAGUAGAGUGGCGCACGGGUGAGUAACACGUAGGUAAUCUACCUUUGGGUGGGGAAUAACAGCCGGAAACGGCUGCUAAUACCGCAUAAUGCAGCGGCUCGACAUCGAGACAGUUGUUAAAGCGGGGGAUCGCAAGACCUCGCGCCUAAAGAGGAGCCUGCGGCGGAUUAGCUUGUUGGUGAGGUAAUGGCUCACCAAGGCAUCGAUCCGUAGCCGGCCUGAGAGGGCGGUCGGCCACACUGACACUGACAUACGGGUCAGACUCCUACGGGAGGCAGCAGUGGGGAAUAUUGCGCAAUGGGCGAAAGCCUGACGCAGCGACGCCGCGUGUGGGAUGAAGGUCUUCGAUUGUAAACCACUGUCGGGAGGGACGAAUGCGCCGCAAGGCGAGUGACGGUACCUCCAAAGGAAGCACCGG